GGAUGAGCUGUGGAUAGGGGUGAAAGGCUAAACAAAUCCGGAAAUAGCUGGUUCUCCCCGAAAACUAUUUAGGUAGUGCGUCACAUAUCACUUCCGGGGGGUAAAGCACUGUUAUGGCUAGGGGGUCAUCGCGACUUACCAAACCAUGGCAAACUCUGAAUACCGGAAAGUGCGAGUGUGGCAGACAGACAGUGGGUGCUAACGUCCAUUGUCAAGAGGGAAACAACCCAGACCGCCAGCUAAGGUCCCCAAGACACAGUUAAGUGGGAAACGAAGUGGGAAGGCAUAGACAGCUAGGAGGUUGGCUUAGAAGCAGCCACCCUUUAAAAGAAAGCGUAAUAGCUCACUAGUCGAGUCGUCCUGCGCGGAAGAUGUAACGGGGCUCAAACUGUGCACCGAAGCUGCGGAUAUCGAAAGAUAUGGUAGGGGAGCGGUUCUGUAGGUCUGUGAAGGUGUCUUGUAAA
RNAcentral lists this ribosomal RNA (464 nucleotides) under uncultured bacterium. RNAcentral's name for it is "bacterial LSU rRNA". It matches the Rfam family "Bacterial large subunit ribosomal RNA", at positions 802 to 1267 of the family's 2925-position model. The record is from RNAcentral.